RNAcentral lists this microRNA (22 nucleotides) under Homo sapiens (human). RNAcentral's name for it is "hsa-miR-4671-5p". Lineage: Eukaryota; Metazoa; Chordata; Mammalia; Primates; Hominidae. The record is from miRBase by way of RNAcentral.
ACCGAAGACUGUGCGCUAAUCU